GAACGCUAGCUACAGGCUUAACACAUGCAAGUCGAGGGGCAGCAUGGUCUUAGCUUGCUAAGGCCGAUGGCGACCGGCGCACGGGUGAGUAACGCGUAUCCAACCUGCCUUACACUCUUGGACAGCCUUCUGAAAGGGAGAUUAAUACAAGAUGUUAUCAUGAGUAAGCAUUUUCGCAUGAUUAAAGGUUUACCGGUGUAAGAUGGGGAUGCGUUCCAUUAGAUAGUAGGCGGGGUAACGGCCCACCUAGUCUUCGAUGGAUAGGGGUUCUGAGAGGAAGGUCCCCCACAUUGGAACUGAGACACGGUCCAAACUCCUACGGGAGGCAGCAGUAAGGAAUAUUGGUCAAUGGACGAGAGUCUGAACCAGCCAAGUAGCGUGAAGGAUGAAGGUUCUAUGGAUUGUAAACUUCUUUUAUACGGGAAUAAACGGAUCCACGUGUGGAUUUUUGCAUGUACCGUAUGAAUAAGGAUCGGCUAACUCCGUGCCAGCAGCCGCGGUAAUACGGAGGAUCCGAGCGUUAUCCGGAUUUAUUGGGUUUAAAGGGAGCGUAGAUGGGUUGUUAAGUCAGUUGUGAAAGUUUGCGGCUCAACCGUAAAAUUGCAAUUGAUACUGGCAGUCUUGAGUACAGUUGAGGUAGGCGGAAUUCGUGGUGUAGCGGUGAAAUGCUUAGAUAUCACGAAGAACUCCGAUUGCGAAGGCAGCUUACUAACCUGUAACUGACAUUGAUGCUCGAAAGUGUGGAUAUCAAACAGGAUUAGAUACCCUGGUAGUCCACACGGUAAACGAUGAAUACUCGCUGUAGGCGAUAUACAGUCUGCGGCCAAGCGAAAGCAUUAAGUAUUCCACCUGGGGAGUACGCCGGCAACGGUGAAACUCAAAGGAAUUGACGGGGGCCCGCACAAGCGGAGGAACAUGUGGUUUAAUUCGAUGAUACGCGAGGAACCUUACCCGGGCUUAAAUUGCAACCGAAUAUGGCGGAAACGCUAUAGCUAGCAAUAGCGGUUGUGAAGGUGCUGCAUGGUUGUCGUCAGCUCGUGCCGUGAGGUGUCGGCUUAAGUGCCAUAACGAGCGCAACCCUUGCCGAUAGUUACUAACAGGUCAUGCUGAGGACUCUGUCGGGACUGCCAUCGUAAGAUGUGAGGAAGGUGGGGAUGACGUCAAAUCAGCACGGCCCUUACGUCCGGGGCUACACACGUGUUACAAUGGGGGGUACAGAGGGCUGCUACCACGCAAGUGGAUGCCAAUCCCAAAAACCUCUCUCAGUUCGGAUUGAAGUCUGCAACCCGACUUCAUGAAGCUGGAUUCGCUAGUAAUCGCGCAUCAGCCACGGCGCGGUGAAUACGUUCCCGGGCCUUGUACACACCGCCCGUCAAGCCAUGGGAGCCGGGGGUACCUGAAGUGCGUAACCGCAAGGAGCGCCCUAGGGUAAAACUGGUGAAAGG
This 1445-nucleotide ribosomal RNA is filed under the name uncultured organism. RNAcentral's name for it is "SSU rRNA". It matches the Rfam family "Bacterial small subunit ribosomal RNA". The record is from RNAcentral.